CUCUUCUUCUCUGUGUCUCUCAUCACGGCUGCAGUCCUCCUGCUCUGUCGAAGGUGAACAGCAGCAGUAUGGGGCAGUUAGACAGGCUUCCCCCCGCGGGUCAGAUGCCGCAGGUCUGUCCUGACUCUGAGGACGAGAGGAGCGUCUUGUCCCAGCGCAUCAGCACCUUCAGACCACGACCCUACAGCAUGAUGAACCCCGAGACCAGCAGGAUGAGGACGUCGACUGAUUUCACCUCGACGCCUCCAUCACCCAGCAGGUAAAGCCAGUGCCCUGUGUUCAGAAGAGCGCUCCACGUCUGAUGGGUUAGUUCAUUUAACCGUCCCCUCUUCACAGGAUCAACCCGUUCGCUCAUAUUCGCCUCAAGAAGACGGUGACCAAUGAUCGCUCCGCCCCACUGAUACAGCAGAGCCUUUGAUUGACAGCCAGAGAUGCUCCUGUGAAUGCUUCAUGAAUAACCCAAACUCUGAGAGGCAGAGUUUACACUUUUGAGAGAAUUAAGUGCAUUUAGAUCAUUUAGGAUUUAGCAGAUCAAACGUAUAUUCUAUAUAUAUUACAUUAUCAGAAAAAUGAAAUAUUUCAAGGUCUUUAUGUAUGAGUGCACUGACCUUUAACAUUUAACUCCAUAUUAUGGACAACAGUUUCUUCAGUAUUUUAACUCCUUUACUGUAAUGUCUACGAUGAAACAGUCAAUUCUCGAAAAAGUCAGUUUGACAAAACGUAGAUGUUUUUGGUAUAUCUGAUAUUUGUGGAGACGAUUCACAAUUUAGUUUCAUGAAAUAUUUACUCACUCGUGUCAUUCCACAUGCUAUCUAUCAUUUUUGGGUGAAUUGUUCCUGAGUGUACUUCCCACACAAAAUAAGAUACUUUCUCCUAAAACUUUUAUUUUAUGUAUUUUUAAAUAUUGAAUAAAGACAAGGUAUCCUAGAGCAUUCUGGGAGAAGCAGGUGAACGGACUGUUGGAGUCAAAAGCAGGGAAAUGGAGUAUAGUUAUAUAUAGAAAGGCUUUGAGAGAGUUUUUGGAAAAGCGUUGUGUUUGUGAAAGUGUGACGUGAAGAGGCUCUCGCUCUGGUCUCUUGUCUCCCUUCCAUCUGCUCUUAUGUGUUUUGUUAAACCCCAGAUCUCUAAAACUAAAGCUCGAGACCGUGCAGAGACGUGACAGAAGGUCUGGAAAGUGUAGACGUGCUGGAGGACAUGACGGAUAGAUGAGAAAUAAGCUGAAAAAACGUCUUUCUGACCCUUUUUCACCAUUAUUUUGGGACAGAGAAGACUUAACGAUGUAUUCGAAAUUAACCAAAAGAAUAUGAUUCAUUUACUUUUGAGUUUGUGUGUUACUGUAAGUUAAAUUGUUUCUGAAUUGUCUUAAAAGUUGCUUAUCGUUG
Molecule: long non-coding RNA, 1382 nt
Filed under: Sinocyclocheilus anshuiensis
Lineage: Eukaryota; Metazoa; Chordata; Actinopteri; Cypriniformes; Cyprinidae
Description: lncRNA (ENSSANG00000040194.1)
Source: RNAcentral